UACGGAGGGUGCGAGCGUUGUCCGGAUUUACUGGGUUUAAAGGGUGCGUAGGUGGGCAGGUAAGUCAGUGGUGAAAUCUCCGGGCUUAACCCGGAAACUGCCAUUGAUACUAUUUGUCUUGAAUACUUUGGAGGUAAGCGGAAUAUGUCAUGUAGCGGUGAAAUGCUUAGAUAUGGCAUAGAACGCCAAUUGCGCAGGCAGCUUACUACACAGUUAUUGACACUGAGGCACGAAAGCGUGGGGAUCAAACAGG
RNAcentral lists this ribosomal RNA (253 nucleotides) under uncultured bacterium. RNAcentral describes it as "partial 16S ribosomal RNA". It matches the Rfam family "Bacterial small subunit ribosomal RNA", at positions 524 to 776 of the family's 1533-position model. The record is from RNAcentral.